Molecule: ribosomal RNA, 403 nt
Filed under: uncultured bacterium
Lineage: Bacteria
Description: partial 16S ribosomal RNA
Rfam family: Bacterial small subunit ribosomal RNA
Source: RNAcentral
GACGAACGCUGGCGGCGUGCCUAAUACAUGCAAGUCGAACGCAGUGGGGACGGGUGAGUAACACGUGGGUAACCUCCCAUCAGAGGGGAUAACACUUGGAAACAGGUGCUAAACCGAUACGGAUGGCUGAACCCGCGGUGCAUUAGCUAGUUGUGGAGGUAACGGCUCACCAAGGCCACGAUGCAUAGCAGACCGUGGAGGGUGAUCGGCCAAACGGGGACUGCGACACGGCCCAGACUCCUACGGUAGGCAGCAGUAGGAAAUCUUCGGCAAUGGAGGAAAGUCUGACCGAGCAACGCCGCGUGAGUGAAGAAGGUUGUCGGAUCGUAAAACUCUGUUGUUAGAGAAGCGGUAUCUAACCAGAAAGCCACGGCUAACUACGUGCCAGCAGCCGCGGUAAUAC